This 328-nucleotide ribosomal RNA is filed under the name uncultured eukaryote. Its description in RNAcentral is "partial 18S ribosomal RNA". It matches the Rfam family "Eukaryotic small subunit ribosomal RNA", at positions 1470 to 1796 of the family's 1831-position model. The record is from RNAcentral.
CCCUUAGAUGUCCUGGGCCGCACGCGCGUUACACUGAUGCAUUCAACGAGCUUAUAACCUUGGCCGAGAGGCCUGGGCAAUCUUGUUAACGUGCAUCGUGAUAGGGAUAGAUUAUUGAAAUUAUUAAUCUUGAACGAGGAAUUCCUAGUAAACGCAGAUCAUCAAUCUGCAUUGAUUACGUCCCUGCCCUUUGUACACACCGCCCGUCGCACCUACCGAUUGGGUGGUCCGGUGAGGCUUUGGGAUCUGAGCGGAAAGAGCGUUUCGCUGUUUCUGCUCGGAAAACUCAGUCGAACCUUAUCAUUUAGAGGAAGGAGAAGUCGUAACA